Molecule: ribosomal RNA, 449 nt
Filed under: uncultured bacterium
Lineage: Bacteria
Description: partial 16S ribosomal RNA
Rfam family: Bacterial small subunit ribosomal RNA
Source: RNAcentral
AACGAACGCUGGCGGCAGGCUUAACACAUGCAAGUCGAACGCAUCCUUCGGGGUGAGUGGCAGACGGGUGAGUAACGCGUGGGAACGUGCCCUUCAGUUCGGGAUAACCCAGGGAAACUUGGGCUAAUACCGGAUACGUGCGAGAGCAGAAAGAUUUAUCGCUGAAGGAUCGGCCCGCGUCUGAUUAGCUAGUUGGUGGGGUAAUGGCCCACCAAGGCGACGAUCAGUAGCUGGUCUGAGAGGAUGAUCAGCCACAUUGGGACUGAGACACGGCCCAAACUCCUACGGGAGGCAGCAGUGGGGAAUAUUGGACAAUGGGCGCAAGCCUGAUCCAGCCAUGCCGCGUGAGUGAUGAAGGCCUUAGGGUUGUAAAGCUCUUUCGUCCGGGACGAUAAUGACGGUACCGGAAGAAGAAGCCCCGGCUAACUUCGUGCCAGCCGCCGCUGUAA